This 217-nucleotide ribosomal RNA is filed under the name uncultured bacterium. RNAcentral's name for it is "partial 16S ribosomal RNA". It matches the Rfam family "Bacterial small subunit ribosomal RNA", at positions 1283 to 1500 of the family's 1533-position model. The record is from RNAcentral.
AGGUCUCAGUUCGGAUCGUAGGCUGCAACCCGCCUGCGUGAAGUUGGAAUUGCUGUAAUCGCGGAUCAGCAUGCCGCGGUGAAUACGUUCCCGGGCCUUGUACACACCGCCCGUCACACCAUGGGAGCCGGUAAUGCCCGAAGUCAGUAGCCUAACCGCAAGGAGGGCGCUGCCGAAGGUAGGAUUGGCGACUGGGGUGAAGUCGUAACAAGGUAGC